ACAAAAUAUUGUCAACGUCAAUACCCUGACAGAUAUUUACGUCAGCAAUGGAUGUUAAAUGGAAAUUAUACAUUUUUAUAUUUAUUUUAUACGAAGUUAUAUCACUUGGUUACUUUAACUUAUCAAACAGUACUGAAGCUGCACAACUGGCGAUAUUUUUGCAAAAUAUGUAAAACUUUGGAAACCAUCAGCAAUAAUUAAAUCAUCUUAGUCGUUACAGACAUUUACAACGAGUUAUAACGUUCCCGAACCAAACAUUUUUAAUUAAUCAAUAAAACAUGUGAUAAAAUCA
Aethina tumida (small hive beetle) is the source of this 292-nucleotide long non-coding RNA. RefSeq lists it as uncharacterized. The record is from RefSeq and is a predicted model, not a curated record. The transcript is spliced from 3 exons. NCBI's taxonomy places the organism in Eukaryota, Metazoa, Arthropoda, Insecta, Coleoptera, Nitidulidae.